CCUACGGGUGGCAGCAGUGAGGAAUAUUGGUCAAUGGACGUAAGUCUGAACCAGCCAAGUAGCGUGCAGGAUGACUGCCCUAUGGGUUGUAAACUGCUUUUAUGCGGGGAUAAAGUCAGCCACGUGUGGUUGUUUGCAGGUACCGCAUGAAUAAGGACCGGCUAAUUCCGUGCCAGCAGCCGCGGUAAUACGGAAGGUCCAGGCGUUAUCCGGAUUUAUUGGGUUUAAAGGGAGCGUAGGCUGUUGGUUAAGCGUGUUGUGAAAUGUAGAUGCUCAACAUCUGAAUUGCAGCGCGAACUGUCCGACUUGAGUGCGCGGAAAGCAGGCGGAAUUCGUUGUGUAGCGGUGAAAUGCUUAGAUAUGACGAAGAACUCCGAUUGCGAAGGCAGCUUGCUGUAGCGUAACUGACGCUGAAGCUCGAAAGUGCGGGUAUCGAACAGGAUUAGAUACCCCAGUAGUC
Molecule: ribosomal RNA, 460 nt
Filed under: uncultured Prevotella sp.
Lineage: Bacteria; Pseudomonadati; Bacteroidota; Bacteroidia; Bacteroidales; Prevotellaceae
Description: bacterial SSU rRNA
Rfam family: Bacterial small subunit ribosomal RNA
Source: RNAcentral